RNAcentral lists this ribosomal RNA (406 nucleotides) under uncultured bacterium. Its description in RNAcentral is "partial 16S ribosomal RNA". It matches the Rfam family "Bacterial small subunit ribosomal RNA", at positions 29 to 526 of the family's 1533-position model. The record is from RNAcentral.
ACGAACGCUGGCGGCUGCUUAACACAUGCAAGUCGAACGGAGUGGCGAACGGGUGAGUAACGCGUGAGCAACCUGCCUAUGACAGUGGGAUCGCCUCGGGAAACCGGGAUUAAUACCGCAUAGUCAUAGAUGGGCUCGGGUCUGUUUAGCUAGUUGGUGAGAUAACAGCCCACCAAGGCGACUAUCAGUAGCCGGUCUGAGAGGAUGAGCGGCCACAUGUGAACUGAGAAACGGUCGAAACUCUUACGGGAGGCAGCAGUGGGGAAUAUUGCACAAUGGGGGAAACCAUGAUGCAGCGAGGCCGCGUAAACGAAGAAGGUAUUCGUAUCGUAAAGUUCUGGCCUAUGGGAAGCAGUACCAUAGAAGAAAGCUCCGGCUAAAUACGUGCCAGCAGCCGCGGUAAUUC